Molecule: ribosomal RNA, 93 nt
Filed under: Neobacillus drentensis
Lineage: Bacteria; Bacillati; Bacillota; Bacilli; Caryophanales; Bacillaceae
Source: RNAcentral
ACACCCGUUCCCAUACCGAACACGGAAGUUAAGCUUCUCAGCGCCGAUGGUAGUUGGGACACGCGUCCCUGUGAGAGUAGGACGCUGCCAGGC